Molecule: ribosomal RNA, 460 nt
Filed under: uncultured bacterium
Lineage: Bacteria
Description: partial 16S ribosomal RNA
Rfam family: Bacterial small subunit ribosomal RNA
Source: RNAcentral
CCUACGGGUGGCAGCAGUGAGGAAUAUUGGUCAAUGGGCGCGAGCCUGAACCAGCCAAGUCGCGUGAAGGAUGAAGGUUCUAUGGGUCGUAAACCUCUUUUAUAAAGGAAUAAAAUGUGGGACGUGUCCUAUUUUGUAUGUACCUUAUGAAUAAGGAUCGGCUAACUCCGUGCCAGCAGCCGCGGUAAUACGGAGGAUCCGAGCGUUAUCCGGAUUUAUUGGGUUUAAAGGGGGCGUAGACGGGUUUUUAAGUCAGCGGUGAAAGUUUGUGGCUCAACCAUAGAAUUGCCGUUGAAACUGGGGGGCUUGAGUACGUUUGAGGCAGGCGGAAUGCGUGGUGUAGCGGUGAAAUGCUUAGAUAUCACGCAGAACCCCGAUUGCGAAGGCAGCUUGCUAAGCAAUGACUGACGUUGAUGCACGAAAGCGUGGGGAUCAAACAGGAUUAGAUACCCGAGUAGUC